CGCCGCAUCCCUUUCCCAUUACCUUCUUCAUGCGUUCUGCAGGGAAAACGACACCGUUUCAGUUCGCCAUUCUCUUCUUCAUGCGUUCCGCAGGGAAAACGACACCGUUUCAGUGUUAGGUGUGCCGUUUCCCUCUUCGUUCUACCUUCUUGCCUCAUUUCUUCUUUCUUUCGUUUUGGUUUUUUUCGUUGGGGCAGAGCAUCUUCUCCACGCUUUUGGUUCUUCAAGUGGGUUUGCUUACUUCUUGAUUUGAUGGACAUACACGGUAAGCAUUUUGAUGGCUGUUAGUCCAUUCACCAAGCUUCCUUAUCUUUAUAAUGUGCGUAUGAUGGAGCAGUAUAAGGAAGCACCAUUUGGUGAGCUUUAGUCCUAUUUUUGCUGUUGCAAAUGCAUCAUAUAGGUAUCUCACAUUAAAGUUAUUUCUAUGGAAAUUGAAUGUUGAUGUGUGAUGUAUCUAGCUUUACCAAUAACCUGAUCUAAUUAGGUUCUAUUUGUUUUUAAAUCCAUAGCUAUGAUGAGCGAAAGUAGAAGCAUAUCUAUACUGCUAUAAUAUAUAAACCGCAUCAAUUUCCAUGGGAAAAUUGGCACUGUUGAUCUACAAUGCCAAAUUCAAGGGUAAUUUUGUGAAUGUGGGGGUGUUUGGAGGCUGUUGCUAGAUCAUGAAGGAAAGGUUGGAGUGAAAGAAAGUGUAUAAAUGAAUAUCAGUUUUGGGAAAACAUUUUGACUUGAGGUGGAAGUGGCAGCAUGAACAAUUGAUGCUGAAUUCACGAUUUCCGGAUGAUGGAAAGCACUUGGAAGACCGUUGUGAUCGUACCUUGCUAGAAAUUCAAGUGGUGGUUGGUGGUGGGCCAAGAAAGAGUCUACUGAGAAGUCAGUGGCGCUGAAAUUCUCUAAGGUACUCGGAUUUAGCUUUGGAAGCUGCUUCAACAUUUGUAUGUUCAUAUUCAUCUCUAUGAAAGGCUGAGAAAGUCUUAGCCUCUGUAAAUAUUCUGUAAACUCGGCCAUGAAGAAUAUUUUCAGGUGGAGUGCUUCUUAGAGACUCUUAAUGGAAAGGUAGGAAUUGAGAGUAACAUCUAUAAGGUACAAACAAAAUGUGUAUUAUUAGAAGAGUUUAAUUAGUAUUAUUGAUUAACAAAUAGUAGCUUGAAUAUUUCCUAUAUGAAAAUGUGGGUGUCACUGAAAUUGUGUUUUGCUUUAAAUUUAAGUUAAAAAUUGAAAGCAUGAAAG
Hevea brasiliensis (rubber tree) is the source of this 1227-nucleotide long non-coding RNA. RefSeq lists it as uncharacterized. The record is from RefSeq and is a predicted model, not a curated record. NCBI's taxonomy places the organism in Eukaryota, Viridiplantae, Streptophyta, Magnoliopsida, Malpighiales, Euphorbiaceae. The transcript has 3 exons.